This is a non-coding RNA of Apiotrichum porosum, 83 nucleotides long. NCBI's taxonomy places the organism in Eukaryota, Fungi, Basidiomycota, Tremellomycetes, Trichosporonales, Trichosporonaceae. The record is from the annotation of a RefSeq genome assembly.
GGGCGUGUAGCUCAGUUGGUAGAGCGUGUCAUUAGCAUCUACCUAUCUUGACAAGGUCUUUGGUUCGAUUCCUAACUCGUCCA